AACGCUAGCUACAGGCUUAACACAUGCAAGUCGCGGGGCAGCAUGAAUUUAGCUUGCUAAAUUUGAUGGCGACCGGCGCACGGGUGAGUAACGCGUAUCCAACCUACCCCGGACUAGGGAAUAGCCCGUUGAAAGACGGAUUAAUGCCCUAUGUUCUCUUUCGCAGGCAUCUAAAGAAGAGUAAAGGCUUGCCGGUUUGGGAUGGGGAUGCGUCCGAUUAGCUUGACGGUGGGGUAACGGCCCACCGUGGCGACGAUCGGUAGGGGUUCUGAGAGGAAGGUCCCCCACAUUGGAACUGAGACACGGUCCAAACUCCUACGGGAGGCAGCAGUGAGGAAUAUUGGUCAAUGGGCGGAAGCCUGAACCAGCCAAGUAGCGUGAGGGACGACGGCCCUAUGGGUUGUAGACCUCUUUUAUGCGGGGAUAACCGGCGCCACGGGUGGCGCCCUGCAGGUACCGCAUGAAUAAGGACCGGCUAAUUCCGUGCCAGCAGCCGCGGUAAUACGGAAGGUCCGGGCGUUAUCCGGAUUCAUUGGGUUUAAAGGGAGCGUAGGCCGCCCUUUAAGCGUGUUGUGAAAUGUAGGGGCUCAACCCCUGCACUGCAGCGCGAACUGGAGGGCUUGAGUACACGCAAGGCAGGCGGAAUUCGUGGUGUAGCGGUGAAAUGCUUAGAUAUCACGAAGAACUCCGAUUG
This 694-nucleotide ribosomal RNA is filed under the name uncultured bacterium. RNAcentral's name for it is "bacterial SSU rRNA". It matches the Rfam family "Bacterial small subunit ribosomal RNA", at positions 32 to 715 of the family's 1533-position model. The record is from RNAcentral.